RNAcentral lists this ribosomal RNA (1144 nucleotides) under Salmonella enterica. RNAcentral describes it as "partial 23S ribosomal RNA". It matches the Rfam family "Bacterial large subunit ribosomal RNA", at positions 711 to 1772 of the family's 2925-position model. Lineage: Bacteria; Pseudomonadati; Pseudomonadota; Gammaproteobacteria; Enterobacterales; Enterobacteriaceae. The record is from RNAcentral. RNAcentral also lists the same sequence under 2 other names.
AGACCCGAAACCCGGUGAUCUAGCCAUGGGCAGGUUGAAGGUUGGGUAACACUAACUGGAGGACCGAACCGACUAAUGUUGAAAAAUUAGCGGAUGACCUGUGGCUGGGGGUGAAAGGCCAAUCAAACCGGGAGAUAGCUGGUUCUCCCCGAAAGCUAUUUAGGUAGCGCCUCGUGAAUUCAUCUCCGGGGGUAGAGCACUGUUUCGGCUAGGGGGCCAUCCCGGCUUACCAACCCGAUGCAAACUGCGAAUACCGGAGAAUGUUAUCACGGGAGACACACGGCGGGUGCUAACGUCCGUCGUGAAGAGGGAAACAACCCAGACCGCCAGCUAAGGUCCCAAAGUCAUGGUUAAGUGGGAAACGAUGUGGGAAGGCCCAGACAGCCAGGAUGUUGGCUUAGAAGCAGCCAUCAUUUAAAGAAAGCGUAAUAGCUCACUGGUCGAGUCGGCCUGCGCGGAAGAUGUAACGGGGCUAAACCAUGCACCGAAGCUGCGGCAGCGAACGUAUCACCCAAGACAACUUUACGGAGUUGACGAUUGACGGAGCGAAGCGACGUCAAAGCGUUCAUUAAAGUCGAGUUGGCUUAGGGAUACGUUCGUUGGGUAGGGGAGCGUUCUGUAAGCCUGUGAAGGUGUGUCGUGAGGCAUGCUGGAGGUAUCAGAAGUGCGAAUGCUGACAUAAGUAACGAUAAAGCGGGUGAAAAGCCCGCUCGCCGGAAGACCAAGGGUUCCUGUCCAACGUUAAUCGGGGCAGGGUGAGUCGACCCCUAAGGCGAGGCCGAAAGGCGUAGUCGAUGGGAAACGGGUUAAUAUUCCCGUACUUGGUGUUACUGCGAAGGGGGGACGGAGAAGGCUAUGUUGGCCGGGCGACGGUUGUCCCGGUUUAAGCGUGUAGGUGUGUGUUCCAGGUAAAUCCGGUUCACUUUAACACUGAGGCGUGAUGACGAGGCACUACGGUGCUGAAGCAACAAAUGCCCUGCUUCCAGGAAAAGCCUCUAAGCAUCAGGUAACAUCAAAUCGUACCCCAAACCGACACAGGUGGUCAGGUAGAGAAUACCAAGGCGCUUGAGAGAACUCGGGUGAAGGAACUAGGCAAAAUGGUGCCGUAACUUCGGGAGAAGGCACGCUGACACGUAGGUGAAGU